UAUUUUUUUUUAAGUAACUCAGAAUUGUAGUCAUUGCAAAAAAAAAUAGGUAAAUGUAUUUAAGUCAAGAGAUUUCCAGCUUUCCUUUGGGGGGUCUACAGCUCACAUCCCCUACUACCUUGAAGCAGGGUAUUAACUGCAGUAUAUAUGAACAGAGGUAGUUGGGCGAUACUAUGCCAGUUAGCUUCUCUUCUUCACUGCAGAUCGUGGCGAGUGCUGGGGUAGGGGACAUAGAAACUGCAGCUACUUAAGAGAUCCACUAGGUAACUGAAAUCUCAGUUAGCCAAUUAGUGAUGGUAGAGUUAAUGAAACAAUUGAAACUAUUUGGAUUUAUUGUUGUUCUUCUAAUAUAUUCUAAUAAGAACAUUAAUAAUAAGAUUAUUUAACUGAUUGUAUAAAUUAUUUAAUUUUAUGUUUAAUAGCUUUAGUUAAUAAUCGUAGCACUUUAAGAAUUGUUCCUUUAAUAACUUCCAGAAAUCAUCUUUUUCCUCUAACAAAAAAGAAAAAAUCAUUAACAAUUUUGUUUUUGUCUGUUAGUUUUUGGUAAUCUUAUAGGUAUGAAUUGGGCUGAGCCAGAUGCUAAAAAACAGUUUGUUUUUAAAUUAAUGUACUUGGUUUAUAAAAAUAGAUAUGUAUCAUGAAUAUUUCUCCUAUGUAAUCUUUAGGUUAUAUGUAGCUCUUGAAUAUUCAUAUAAUACUAGGAGAUAAAAAUAGUAAGGGCAAUUGAAAUCCAUAUAAUUUUUCACACCUUAAAAAAAUAAAUUUAUUGAGUUUUUGAAUGUAUAAAAAGCAAUCUAUGUCCACUGUGGAAUCUGUUGCCUAAAUAAGCUUGUUAAUCCUCCUGCCCUACAAAAGGAUUUCACUUAGUGUUUGAAAUUUGACCAUUUAAGACUUACCCUCUUCCCUGUCUCACCUCCUCCAGAGGUGAUGACAAACCUGGCAAGUCUGAUUGCAAGCUGAGAGCCAAAAGGAAAAGGAAGAGCCACCAAAGGCUAAGAUGAUGAGUCACAUGACACAGCUGGAACAUUAAAUCAUGUGGACACUACAUUUCCAGAAUAGGAAGACUUUGUUGCUUUUAUCAGUAAAAUAUAACUUUAUAGAAUACCUUUCAACCCAGUAGACAUUAUUGUUAAAAGCAUAGGAUGUGACAUCAGGGAGAUGUCAUUGUGGAUCCAAAUGAAAUGCUUAGCACAUUGCCUGGCUCAGAGUAAGAGCUUACCAACUGAUGGGUCGUAAUGAUGGUGGUGGUUGUGGGGAAUGCUGGUGGUGAUGGUGAUAGUAACAGUAAUAGUAGCAGAAACUACAGUGAUUUCUUAGAGAACUUCAUGUUACCCUCAAGACAGGACAGUGGGGAAACACAGUAAAAUUAACCUAGACAAUGAUAUAAACUCAUGUUUUCUCCUAAAUUUCAUUAUUUUUAAAGGAUCUACAUUUUGUCGAUAAAGGAGGAAUGGCUCCUUCUGCUGCCUAUCAUCUCAGUCUCUCCUCUUGUUUUAACUCACGUAUUCUCACACUGUCUGGUAGAUUGUGUGUGCUCUGUGUUAUAUGUUUUGGUAUUUGGCACAAGAUCAGGACCUAGAACAUACCUUGGAAAAGUAAUGAAUGGGUCUGUGUGUACUGAGCCGAAAGCAUGAAUACCAGAUGGCUGCGGAGAGUGGAAGAGAUAGCACCUGUGUGGCCCGUCAUUUGGUGGCUGUGCCCAGAGUAUCUGGUGUUCUUCAGAGAAAUGGGACUAAGGAAGCUAGCCCAGCCUGCACUAGAGCCAAAA
This is a long non-coding RNA of Phyllostomus discolor (pale spear-nosed bat), 1768 nucleotides long. RefSeq lists it as uncharacterized. The transcript is spliced from 2 exons. Lineage: Eukaryota; Metazoa; Chordata; Mammalia; Chiroptera; Phyllostomidae. The record is from RefSeq and is a predicted model, not a curated record.